Heterocephalus glaber (naked mole-rat) is the source of this 819-nucleotide non-coding RNA. The record is from RefSeq and is a predicted model, not a curated record. Lineage: Eukaryota; Metazoa; Chordata; Mammalia; Rodentia; Bathyergidae.
GGCAGGAAUGGCACCAGCAACAUCACUGGCGGUGGAAGACAAAAGCAAUCAAUUUGUUCAAGGAAAAUUCAGUCAUCUAACUGAGUGACUCAGCUAACUGGCCACAUUUCAACUGUAUCUAUUUAUGGCACACGGAAAGAGAUCAUGCAGAUGGAGGAACGGAGGCCUGGAAUAUUUCAAGGAAGUACACAGAGUUGUUCAAUGGAGAACUGAGACUGGAACCUCGGUUUCCCCGGGUGUGGGCAUGGUAUCCACAUGCCUCUUGGACAUGAAAUCACCCUGAGUGCAGGGGCAAAACUGUACCUGCCACAAGGAGACAAGGAGAACAACUGAUCAACAUUUCUACCUAAUACUCCUCGGAACACCUGAAGACAGCUGUGAGCGCCAAAGCUUCACCGAGGCUCAUCUGCACUCAGCCAGAGUGGGCAACGUGUCUGCGCGCGUGCGCGCGUGCGCGCGCGAGUCUGCACCUGCGCAUUGCUGCCUAGCUUCAAUUCCCUGGCAGAUUCAACUUUCCAGGCCUGGACUCUCCUGCCUCGCCUCCAUUAACCCCCCAGAGGUCACCUUGUGAGCCGUCACUCCCUGCUCUUGGCUCGCCUGAUGCCCUGGCAUCUGAAUGCUGCUCCUCGCCUGCCACAGCUGCAUUCCUACUGGACGGAGCUUCACUUCCUCACCCAGGUAGCAGUGCAGUCCCCUCGUCUGCACUCUGCCUUGCUUGCCUGUUUUCAUUAGGCUGUGCCCUCAGUGACAAGGACGGCCUCCUUCCUCUUUGCAUCCUCGGCGUUCAGCAUAAACCAAGCCUUGGCUUUAGUCAGCCUG